AAAAGACUGGUAAGUUCGCCUGUGCAAUUUGAUUUGAGAGAAGAUGGGUUUGUACUGGAUAAGGGAGCAGCUUAUUUACUGCCACUUUGAGCUGGAAAUAUUGACACGGAUGCCAAAGCUCAGUAUCCUGGUCAACGUAUGCAAGUUAAUGCAGGUGGUUGUCACUGAUUUGACAUAUUUAUUGUUCCUAGGUCAAAUCUUUGAGCGUAACAAAGCCUGAAUCCACCCUUUGGGUGUCUCUGUCUCUUUAUAUUGGCUUAAACUCAAGUAUGGAGAGUGUCACCUUGGCUCAACCCAAAAAUUUACAUUGUUCUCUGCAAAGAUCAGAUGCCUGCCUGUGUCACCGGUUGAGAAUCCCAAGGAAAAAAUUUUAAUAAACCAUUUUUACUUGAAAUGUUUGUUAUUGGAUCAGGAGUGGAAAUGUGAGACUUACAAAUUAUCCAUCUUAUAUAAUCUGCAAUUUUCUUUCAGCUCUGCCACUCCUGAGAGAGACUUAAGUCGUGUCUAUAACUGGCAGCUCAAUAUUUAUCAAACUGAAGAGCCAGGCUGCAGUUUUAAUUAGACAUUCUUUACACACAGAAGCUGCAAGAGGCAAUUGCACGACAAUUAACAGUUACUUUUUUACUGUCACUCAGCUUUGAUAAAACAGAUUAAAAAUUUAAUAUGUUCCUCAUAGUCUGAUUCACCAUCUUCUUGUCUUUUUUGUUUCCCCCAGACACUACAACAGAUUAACUGUCAGAGAAAUACAUUGUAAAAUUACGCCUGUACGAAAGAUCCUUUUGCACUUCAAAAAUCGCCAGAGCACACAAGUGUGUAUUCUUCAGUACACUCGUCACAUUGUUGCCAUUUGUAUUUUCCUGUCACUCACUCUUCAGCAGGGCUGACAUUCCCAAAUGACAGGCUGAGCCGAAGCUUAACUGUUCAUAAAACUGUUCUUGGAAAAAAAUUAUAGGUGAUCUUAAAUCUGACUGCUAAAGAACUAAAUGUAUUUGGCAGCUUCUCCUGCUCUAAUUUGGUUUGUAAGUGCAGGUUGCCAUAUGGAGCAGCUGCUGCAGGAUUUUCAGCAUUUGUGGAGGAAGAAAUUACAGCUUUGUUAAGCUCAAGAUGGGAAACCAGUAUGUUUACUGUAACAUAUAGUAUUUGUUGUUGUUGCUUUUGUUGUCUUUGAAUUCUUAAGAUACAGACAUUGCUCAACGA
RNAcentral lists this long non-coding RNA (1197 nucleotides) under Oreochromis niloticus (Nile tilapia). Its description in RNAcentral is "lncRNA (ENSONIG00000038664.1)". The record is from RNAcentral. Lineage: Eukaryota; Metazoa; Chordata; Actinopteri; Cichliformes; Cichlidae.